Calidris pugnax (ruff) is the source of this 561-nucleotide long non-coding RNA. RefSeq lists it as uncharacterized. The transcript has 3 exons. The record is from RefSeq and is a predicted model, not a curated record. Lineage: Eukaryota; Metazoa; Chordata; Aves; Charadriiformes; Scolopacidae.
AGACGCUUUUCGAUCCAGCUGAGCAGCUCUUUGACGUAUUUACACCACAUUUUGGCAUAUUCCAGGGCCGCCUCGAUGCCACCUUCGCAUUUUAUCAGCAUCUCGUCUGCCUCCUGAACUGCAAGAGAAUAAACCCGGGUUCGGAACCGGCCGAUGGGCAGAAGUUCCCCACAAAAAGCGGCAAAACUGGGAGUCUCAAGAGUCGAUGCUGCCAAAUAUGCUGAUAACAGCCAUAAAAAAAGGGUUUUUCACUCAAUAACAUCAUUACGAUCUACUUCCCGGUGACCCCACGCAGUCCUGCCCACGGAACCACACAAGUUCCAGAUUCUUCUCACCCCUCCGAAGCACCACGGACUGGCCCCAGAUGAAGAUGGGGCUCUGGGAGGAGGAUUCAUGCUCUCAGAGGGUCCGGAGACCUCUCAGCUCCUCGAUGGGGAGGAGCUCGCUCCAGCGCAGCGGUAAAGGGACCCGGCUGUUCCUAAACACUCAAAUUCUGCUCAAAACAGAAAAUAACAAACACUGGAGACCGAAUCGAGCAGAAAACCCCACUUUCAGCGAUGG